GAGACAGCAGUCGCCACGGUAAUACGUAGGUGGCAAGCGUUGUCCGGAAUUAUUGGGCGUAAAGCGCGCGCAGGUGGUUUAAUAAGUCUGAUGUGAAAGCCCACGGCUCAACCGUGGAGGGUCAUUGGAAACUGUUAAACUUGAGUGCAGGAGAGAAAAGUGGAAUUCCUAGUGUAGCGGUGAAAUGCGUAGAGAUUAGGAGGAACACCAGUGGCGAAGGCGGCUUUUUGGCCUGUAACUGACACUGAGGCGCGAAAGCGUGGGGAGCAAACAGGAUUAGAUACCCCGGUAGUCCCUGUCUCUUAUAC
Molecule: ribosomal RNA, 308 nt
Filed under: uncultured bacterium
Lineage: Bacteria
Description: partial 16S ribosomal RNA
Rfam family: Bacterial small subunit ribosomal RNA
Source: RNAcentral